GACGAACGCUGGCGGCGUGCCUAAUACAUGCGAGUCGAACGAGAGCGACCGGUGCUUGCACUGGUCAAUCUAGUGGCGAACGGGUGAGUAACACGUGGGUAACCUGCCCAUCAGAGGGGGAUAACAUCCGGAAACGGAUGCUAAAACCGCAUAGGUCUUCGAACCGCAUGGUUUGAAGAGGAAAAGAGGCGCAAGCUUCUGCUGGUGGAUGGACCCGCGGUGCAUUAGCUAGUUGGUGAGGUAACGGCUCACCAAGGCCGUGAUGCAUAGCCGACCUGAGAGGGUGAUCGGCCACAUUGGGACUGAGACACGGCCCAAACUCCUACGGGAGGCAGCAGUAGGGAAUCUUCCGCAAUGGACGCAAGUCUGACGGAGCAACGCCGCGUGAGUGAAGAAGGUUUUCGGAUCGUAAAACUCUGUUGUUAGAGAAGAACAAGUGCUAGAGUAACUGUUAGCGCCUUGACGGUAUCUAACCAGAAAGCCACGGCUAACUACGUG
Molecule: ribosomal RNA, 498 nt
Filed under: uncultured bacterium
Lineage: Bacteria
Description: partial 16S ribosomal RNA
Rfam family: Bacterial small subunit ribosomal RNA
Source: RNAcentral